RNAcentral lists this long non-coding RNA (666 nucleotides) under Equus asinus (donkey). Its description in RNAcentral is "lncRNA (ENSEASG00005037043.1)". The record is from RNAcentral. Lineage: Eukaryota; Metazoa; Chordata; Mammalia; Perissodactyla; Equidae.
GCACAUUCUGCUUCAGUGGCCCAGGAUUCGCCAGCGCAGAUCCCAGACUGGCUGGGGUGAAUUUUCCCAGCUGAAUCUGAAUCCAUUCCAUUCCUGAAGACACAACCUCUGACAAGCAUUCCCAAGGUCCUCUGAAGGCUCAGGGAAUUUGGUUUUAUGAAUGACGGAGAAAAAACCUAAAAGCAUGGAGACUCCAAACACACUGCCAAAAGUUCAACCUUCCUAAGGACAGUAGUAGAAGCCAUGGUCUGUCCCACUCCCUUCCUCUUCCCAACCUCUGGUGGCAGAUUCUAAGAAGCAGAAACAAGGUCCUGUAUUUCUGAUUCAGGUUGGCAGAUGGAAUCCUGACUGUAGCCUUGAGUCUACGUGGUCUUCUAGUUGGCAGUUGUUAAAGGGCUACUGACAUGCAGCAAUAUGCACAAUAGCCAAGAUAUGGAAGCAAGCUAAGUGUCCAUCUAUAGAUGAAUGGAUAAAGAAGACGGAGGAAAGAGACCUGCCCUCAUCAAUGCAGAUGAGCAUCAUCUAAGCCACUGAGGACCCAAACAGAUCAAAGAGGCAAAGGAGCAGGAAAUUUCGUCUCUCUUUUUGAGCUGGGACAUCCAUCUUCUUCUGCCCUCGAGCACUGGAGCUCCUGGUUCUCAGCCCUUUGGCCUCAGACUGAAUUAU